UACGUAGGGGGCAAGCGUUUGUCCGGAUUUAUUGGGCGUAAAGAGCGUGUAGGCGGCUAUGCAGGUCCGUUGUGAAAACUCGAGGCUCAACCUCGAGACGCCGAUGGAAACCGCAUGGCUAGAGUCCGGAAGAGGAGAGUGGAAUUCCUGGUGUAGCGGUGAAAUGCGCAGAUAUCAGGAAGAACACCCGUGGCUAAGGCGGCUCUCUAGUACGGUACUGACGCUGAGACGCGAAAGCGUGGGGAGCGAACAGG
Molecule: ribosomal RNA, 254 nt
Filed under: uncultured bacterium
Lineage: Bacteria
Description: partial 16S ribosomal RNA
Rfam family: Bacterial small subunit ribosomal RNA
Source: RNAcentral